This is a non-coding RNA of Potamilus streckersoni, 74 nucleotides long. NCBI's taxonomy places the organism in Eukaryota, Metazoa, Mollusca, Bivalvia, Unionida, Unionidae. The record is from the annotation of a GenBank genome assembly.
UGCUCAGGUGGCCUAGUGGUUAAGACAUCCGCCUCAGAUGUGGGAGGUUGCGGGUUCGAACCCAGCCUGAGUCA